UACGUAGGUGGCGAGCGUUAUCCGGAUUUACUGGGCGUAAAGCGUGUGCAGACGGGUCAACAAGUGAUGUAUGAAAACUUCAUGCUCAACAUGGAGCGGGUAUGUCAGACUGUUGGUCUAGGGUAAGUGAGAGGGAGAUGGAAUUCCGGGUGUAGUGGUGAAAUGCGUAGAGAUCCGGAGGAACCCCAGAGGCGAAGGCAGUCUCCUGGCACUUAACCGACGUUCAGACACGACAGCACGGGUAGCGAACGGG
This 253-nucleotide ribosomal RNA is filed under the name uncultured bacterium. RNAcentral's name for it is "partial 16S ribosomal RNA". It matches the Rfam family "Bacterial small subunit ribosomal RNA", at positions 524 to 776 of the family's 1533-position model. The record is from RNAcentral.